UGGGCUUCAGAAUCUACUAUCCAGUGUUCAGUCACUUCCUUUGAGAGGCUACUACAUCAUGGUGACUUGAUCCAAGCAUCCAAGGUCCUCUGAGAGCACGGGCAGAACUGUGUUUGUCAAGGAGUUUGAAGGGGAGAGGUGCAUAGAUCCAAGAGGCAAGAGGCAGCCAGCAGAGGAAGGGCAGAGCUACACAGGAACAAAAAUUGUCUUAUAAUGCAAAUAAAGUCCCCCAAACAGUCUCUUGGAGUCACCCUCAAAAGAAUAGAUAAAAAAAAAAUGUCUGUG
This is a non-coding RNA of Macaca mulatta (Rhesus monkey), 285 nucleotides long. Lineage: Eukaryota; Metazoa; Chordata; Mammalia; Primates; Cercopithecidae. The record is from RefSeq and is a predicted model, not a curated record.